This 353-nucleotide ribosomal RNA is filed under the name uncultured bacterium. RNAcentral's name for it is "bacterial SSU rRNA". It matches the Rfam family "Bacterial small subunit ribosomal RNA", at positions 917 to 1271 of the family's 1533-position model. The record is from RNAcentral.
GGGCCCGCACAAGCGGUGGAGCAUGUGGUUUAAUUCGAUGCAACGCGAAGAACCUUACCAAGCCUUGACAUCCUGCGAAUCUCUUGGAAACGAGAGAGUGCCUUCGGGAACGCAGUGACAGGUGGUGCAUGGCUGUCGUCAGCUCGUGUCGUGAGAUGUUGGGUUAAGUCCCGCAACGAGCGCAACCCACGUCUUUAGUUGCCAGCAUUUAGUUGGGCACUCUAGAGAGACUGCCGGUGAUAAACCGGAGGAAGGUGUGGAUGACGUCAAGUCAUCAUGCCCCUUACAUCCUGGGCUACACACGUGCUACAAUGGACAGUACAAUGGGAAGCGAAGCCGCGAGGUGGAGCAAA